AUUGAACGCUGGCGGCGUGGCUAAAGCAUGCAAGUCGAGCGAACCCGCAAGGGUGAGCGGCGGACGGGUUAGUAAUACGAUCGAACGUGCCCUGAGGCGGGGGAUAGGCGUGGGAAACUGCGCGUAAUACCCCAUGAUCUCUCCGGAGCAAAGGUUUACCACCUUGGGAUCGGCGAUCGUCCUAUCAGCUAGUUGGCGGGGUAAAGGCCCACCAAGGCUAUGACGGGUAGCAGGUGNGAGAGCACGACCUGCAACAUCGGGACUGAGACACUGCCCGGACUCCUACGGGAGGCUGCAGCGACGAAUCUUCCGCAAUGGGCGCAAGCCUGACGGAGCGACGCCGCGUGUGGGAUGAAGCGCCUUCGGCGUGU
This 371-nucleotide ribosomal RNA is filed under the name uncultured bacterium. RNAcentral's name for it is "bacterial SSU rRNA". It matches the Rfam family "Bacterial small subunit ribosomal RNA", at positions 28 to 426 of the family's 1533-position model. The record is from RNAcentral.